Molecule: long non-coding RNA, 302 nt
Filed under: Citrus maxima (pomelo)
Lineage: Eukaryota; Viridiplantae; Streptophyta; Magnoliopsida; Sapindales; Rutaceae
Description: long non-coding RNA (CMAX_LNC002702)
Source: RNAcentral
AAAGCAAGAAAAAGUGCGAUUUUAACUAACCUAAUCAUUAUCAUUGAUAUUUUAACACACUGAUCUUCACAUGGAGUUAACAAACAUAAGAGUUAGUGCCUAAUACAUAUGUCUGGGGUUACUCAAACUUAAUACUUAUACAACCUCCCUAUCAAAAUCCCCUUCAAGAUGUAAAUGAAUUAUUAAAUCCUAAACUCAGGGCAGAAAAAAGAGCCUGGUUUUCUUUUAACAUAGAAUACUUUUUGAGAUAAAUAUAGGAAAGAAAAAAAUGAAACUUGCUAAUACUGAUUCAAGCCUAAACC